GGGGUGAAAUUUGAGGUCAUAUCCCGGGAAAGAGGAAGAAGGGUCGUGAGUCACCGAACCCGAAGGAGAGGAAAAGAUGUGGAGGCGGCGGUCUAUGGCCUCUUCCAGCUCCGGACGGGGGAUGGGGACGCUCUGGGCAAUACGGGCCUCAGUUACUGUCCCACUGUCCUUUCAGCACUUAACCAACCCAGUUGGAGGCCGCCUGGGAGAAUGUAGCCUUGGAACUAGGGCCUGGAAUUGGGGCUCCUACCGGUUGUGUGGGCUUGGGUUGUGACAAGGAACAAUGGGCUGGCUCAAGUUUUAUGGAGCGUAACCAAAUAACAUCCUUUGAAGGCUGAUCAGCACCGGACCAGAAAUCAUUGCAUGAGCUAUAUCUGUCAGAGACCCCUGAAACCCAUUCCCCAUUCUGAAGGUGUAGACAUCACAAAGUGUGGACAGAAAUAGCUUCUCA
This 451-nucleotide non-coding RNA is filed under the name Pongo abelii (Sumatran orangutan). Lineage: Eukaryota; Metazoa; Chordata; Mammalia; Primates; Hominidae. The record is from RNAcentral.